GACGUAGGUGGCGAGCGUUGUUCGGAAUCACUGGGCAUAAAGCGCACGUAGGCGGCCAUGUCAGUCGGGUGUGAAAUCCCUCGGCUCAACCGAGGAACUGCACUCGAUACUGGCUGGCUCGAGUCCGGGAGGGGAUGGUGGAAUUCCCAGUGUAGCGGUGAAAUGCGUAGAUAUUGGGAAGAACACCGGUGGCGAAGGCGGCCAUCUGGACCGGAACUGACGCUGAGGCGCGAAAGCCAGGGGAGCGAAUGGG
This 253-nucleotide ribosomal RNA is filed under the name uncultured bacterium. Its description in RNAcentral is "partial 16S ribosomal RNA". It matches the Rfam family "Bacterial small subunit ribosomal RNA", at positions 524 to 776 of the family's 1533-position model. The record is from RNAcentral.